Molecule: ribosomal RNA, 254 nt
Filed under: uncultured bacterium
Lineage: Bacteria
Description: partial 16S ribosomal RNA
Rfam family: Bacterial small subunit ribosomal RNA
Source: RNAcentral
UACAGAGGUCUCAAGCGUUGUUCGGAUUCAUUGGGCGUAAAGGGUGCGUAGGUGGCUUGGUAAGUUGAAGGUGAAAUCUCGGAGCUUAACUCCGAAACUGCCUUCAAUACUGCCAUGACUUGAGUCCGGUAGGGGAGUGUGGAAUUCCCGGUGUAGCGGUGAAAUGCGCAGAUAUCGGGAGGAACACCCGUAGCGAAGGCGGCACUCUGGGCCGUGACUGACGCUGAGGAGCGAAAGCGUGGGGAGCAAACAGG